This 246-nucleotide ribosomal RNA is filed under the name Irpex sp. RNAcentral describes it as "partial 28S ribosomal RNA". It matches the Rfam family "Eukaryotic large subunit ribosomal RNA", at positions 104 to 344 of the family's 3401-position model. The record is from RNAcentral. Lineage: Eukaryota; Fungi; Basidiomycota; Agaricomycetes; Polyporales; Irpicaceae.
AAAGCUCAAAUUUAAAAUCUGGUGGCUUUGGCCGCCCGAGUUGUAUUCUAGAGAAGUGUUUUCCGCGUUGGACCGUGUACAAGUCUCUUGGAACAGAGCGUCAUAGAGGGUGAGAAUCCCGUCUUUGACACGGACUACCAGUGCUUUGUGAUACACUCUCAAAGAGUCGAGUUGUUUGGGAAUGCAGCUCAAAAUGGGUGGUAAAUUCCAUCUAAAGCUAAAUAUUGGCGAGAGACCGAUAGCGAA